UCAGGCAUCGGAGGUAGCUUUCUUGACCUU
RNAcentral lists this non-coding RNA (30 nucleotides) under Rattus norvegicus (Norway rat). Lineage: Eukaryota; Metazoa; Chordata; Mammalia; Rodentia; Muridae. The record is from RNAcentral.